GGGUUGUGAGGUUAAGUGACUAAGCGUACACGGUGGAUGCCUAGGCAGUCAGAGGCGAUGAAGGGCGUGCUAAUCUGCGAAAAGCGUCGGUAAGGUGAUAUGAACCGUUAUAACCGGCGAUACCCGAAUGGGGAAACCCAGUGUGUUUCGACACACUAUCAUGUCAUGAAUACAUAGUGGCAUGAGGCGAACCGGGGGAACUGAAACAUCUAAGUACCCCGAGGAAAAGAAAUCAACCGAGAUUCCCCCAGUAGCGGCGAGCGAACGGGGAGGAGCCCAGAACCUGAAUCGGCUUGUGUGUUAGUGGAAGCGUCUGGAAAGUCGCGCAGCAAAGGGUGAUAGCCCCGUACACUAAAAUGCACAGGUCGUGAGUUCGAUGAGUAGGGCGGGACACGUGACAUCCUGUCUGAAUAUGGGGGGACCAUCCUCCAAGGCUAAAUACUCCUGACUGACCGAUAGUGAACCAGUACCGUGAGGGAAAGGCGAAAAGAACCCCGGCGAGGGGAGUGAAAUAGAACCUGAAACCGUGUACGUACAAGCAGUGGGAGCACCUUCGUGGUGUGACUGCGUACCUUUUGUAUAAUGGGUCAGCGACUUAUAUUUUGUAGCAAGGUUAACCGUAUAGGGGAGCCGUAGGGAAACCGAGUCUUAACUGGGCGAAUAGUUGCAAGGUAUAGACCCGAAACCCGGUGAUCUAGCCAUGGGCAGGUUGAAGGUUGGGUAACACUAACUGGAGGACCGAACCGACUAAUGUUGAAAAAUUAGCGGAUGACUUGUGGCUGGGGGUGAAAGGCCAAUCAAACCGGGAGAUAGCUGGUUCUCCCCGAAAGCUAUUUAGGUAGCGCCUCGUGAACUCAUCUUCGGGGGUAGAGCACUGUUUCGGCUAGGGGGCCAUCCCGGCUUACCAAACCGAUGCAAACUCCGAAUACCGAAGAAUGUUAUCACGGGAGACACACGGCGGGUGCUAACGUCCGUCGUGAAGAGGGAAACAACCCAGACCGCCAGCUAAGGUCCCAAAGUCAUGGUUAAGUGGGAAACGAUGUGGGAAGGCAUAGACAGCCAGGAUGUUGGCUUAGAAGCAGCCAUCAUUUAAAGAAAGCGUAAUAGCUCACUGGUCGAGUCGGCCUGCGCGGAAGAUGUAACGGGGCUAAACCAUGCACCGAAGCUGCGGCAGCGACGCUUAGCGUUGUUGGGUAGGGGAGCGUUCUGUAAGCCGUUGAAGGUGGCCUGUGAGGGUUGCUGGAGGUAUCAGAAGUGCGAAUGCUGACAUAAGUAACGAUAAAGCGGGUGAAAAGCCCGCUCGCCGGAAGACCAAGGGUUCCUGUCCAACGUUAAUCGGGGCAGGGUGAGUCGACCCCUAAGGCGAGGCUGAAAAGCGUAGUCGAUGGGAAACAGGUUAAUAUUCCUGUACUUGGUGUUACUGCGAAGGGGGGACGGAGAAGGCUAGGCUAGCCGGGCGACGGUUGUCCCGGUUUAAGCGUGUAGGGGGUGUGACCUGGUAAAUCCGGUUGCAUACUAACCCUGAGGCGUGAUGACGAUGCACUACGGUGCAGAAGUAGUUGAUGCCCUGCUUCCAGGAAAAUCCUCUAAGCUCCAGGUAACAUUAAAUCGUACCCCAAACCGACACAGGUGGUCAGGUAGAGAAUACCAAGGCGCUUGAGAGAACUCGGGUGAAGGAACUAGGCAAAAUGGUGCCGUAACUUCGGGAGAAGGCACGCUGGCAUGUAGGUGAAGUCCCUUGCGGAUGGAGCUGAAGCCAGUCGAAGAUACCAGCUGGCUGCAACUGUUUAAUAAAAACACAGCACUGUGCAAACACGAAAGUGGACGUAUACGGUGUGACGCCUGCCCGGUGCUGGAAGGUUAAUUGAUGGGGUCAGCCGCAAGGCGAAGCUCUUGAUCGAAGCCCCAGUCCAGUAAACGGCGGCCGUAACUAUAACGGUCCUAAGGUAGCGAAAUUCCUUGUCGGGUAAGUUCCGACCUGCACGAAUGGCGUAAUGAUGGCCAGGCUGUCUCCACCCGAGACUCAGUGAAAUUGAACUCGCUGUGAAGAUGCAGUGUACCCGCGGCAAGACGGAAAGACCCCGUGAACCUUUACUAUAGCUUGACACUGAACAUUGAGCCUUGAUGUGUAGGAUAGGUGGGAGGCUUUGAAGCGUGGACGCCAGUCUGCGUGGAGCCAUCCUUGAAAUACCACCCUUUAAUGUUUGAUGUUCUAACUCGGCCCCGUGAUCCGGGGUGAGGACAGUGUCUGGUGGGUAGUUUGACUGGGGCGGUCUCCUCCCAAAGAGUAACGGAGGAGCACGAAGGUUAGCUAAUCACGGUCGGACAUCGUGAGGUUAGUGCAAAGGCAUAAGCUAGCUUGACUGCGAGAGUGACGGCUCGAGCAGGUACGAAAGUAGGUCUUAGUGAUCCGGUGGUUCUGAAUGGAAGGGCCAUCGCUCAACGGAUAAAAGGUACUCCGGGGAUAACAGGCUGAUACCGCCCAAGAGUUCAUAUCGACGGCGGUGUUUGGCACCUCGAUGUCGGCUCAUCACAUCCUGGGGCUGAAGUAGGUCCCAAGGGUAUGGCUGUUCGCCAUUUAAAGUGGUACGCGAGCUGGGUUUAGAACGUCGUGAGACAGUUCGGUCCCUAUCUGCCGUGGGCGUUGGAAGAUUGAGAGGGGUUGCUCCUAGUACGAGAGGACCGGAGUGAACGCACCACUGGUGUUCGGGUUGUCAUGCCAAUGGCAUUGCCCGGUAGCUAAGUGCGGAAAAGAUAAGCGCUGAAAGCAUCUAAGCGCGAAACUUGCCUCAAGAUGAGUCUUCCCUGGGCCUUUAAGGCCCCUGAAGGAACGUUUAAGACUAAGACGUUGAUAGGCUGGGUGUGUAAGUGCAGCGAUGCAUUGAGCUAACCAGUACUAAUGAUCCGUGAGGCUUAACCUUACAACACCGAAGGUGUUUUAG
Molecule: ribosomal RNA, 2942 nt
Filed under: Serratia marcescens
Lineage: Bacteria; Pseudomonadati; Pseudomonadota; Gammaproteobacteria; Enterobacterales; Yersiniaceae
Description: 23S ribosomal RNA
Rfam family: Bacterial large subunit ribosomal RNA
Source: RNAcentral